Molecule: ribosomal RNA, 253 nt
Filed under: uncultured bacterium
Lineage: Bacteria
Description: partial 16S ribosomal RNA
Rfam family: Bacterial small subunit ribosomal RNA
Source: RNAcentral
UACAGAGACCUCAAGCGUUAUCCGGAUUUAUUGGGCGUAAAGCGUCCGCAGGUGGUUCGGCGGGUUAGAGGUCAAAACUUAACGCUUAACGUUAAGAUCGCCUUUAAAACUACCAAACUAGAGUAUGGAAGAGGUGAGCGGAAUUCUCGGUGUAGUCGUAAUAAGCGUUGAUAUCGAGAAGAACACCAAAUGCGAAGGCAGCUCACUGGUACAUUACUGACACUCAUGGACGAAAGCGUGGGGAGCAAACAGG